RNAcentral lists this long non-coding RNA (938 nucleotides) under Homo sapiens (human). RNAcentral describes it as "HSALNT0225046". Lineage: Eukaryota; Metazoa; Chordata; Mammalia; Primates; Hominidae. The record is from RNAcentral.
AGAUGAGGAAACUGAGGCACAGAUGGUUAAGGAAAUUGCCCAAGGUCACACAGUUGGUAUUUCACUGACGUUCUUGAAAGAAAAGGCUUCUGGUUUUAUGGACUGAGACCAUACUACCUAUGUGCGUCUGUAAAAACUGUGACUCUCCCUCUUCUAAUGCUGCCAACCACAAGCUGAGCUUUUUGAAGAUUACCAAGGACAAAGCAGCUCCCUUUUCUGCUCUUCCAGUGUGAUCUCUAAUUUGGUACCACCCCUCCCUGCACACUACCGCGUUCCAUUAAUCCACACACUUCUCUAUAGCUCUUGUGUAGGAUGAUUCUUCCUUCACUUUCUUCCACUCCCUUAAUUCACAUGGAUUUAUUCUCUUUUGUGUCAUCCUUUCAUUUUAUUGGUCCCCCAUAACAGAAGGGCCAUCCUACCACGUUCAAUUAAACUGAUUUAAGAAACUCAAGCACAAGUUGUAGCCCCUAUUCACAUAUUUACCUUCUCAAAUGUUUUUAAGCAACCUGUGUUAAUUAACAUCCUAACAUAAUCUUUCUAAAUUAGUAAUUAACUUUGAUUUAUCCAACUUAGUCUAGUGAUAAAGACAGGAACUUAGUUUAUAGUUUUCCAUAUGGCUAAACUUAAAAAUGUACUUUGUCAUAUAUAAAAGCCUAGGCAUUAACAUGUCUGAAGACACUUGAGAUUUUAUUCUGAAAGGCUCUUAUUGGGAGAAUAUAUCCAAUUUCCACAAGUUUAUCCCAUAAUUUUCCAAUACUAACCUUGGCAUAAGCAUUGAGUGAGUCUUGAACACCUAAGACAAGCGAAGGUCUCUUUGUAAAGAUGUUACCAUUUUGCUUUGUAAAUGUCUCACAAUUUUUGUGGAAAAGCUUAAUGCUAGGUACAUUUCUCAGGUUCUAGAAAUGGGUUCUAAUGAUCUAUUAAAUACUGAUAUUUUA